RNAcentral lists this ribosomal RNA (498 nucleotides) under uncultured bacterium. RNAcentral's name for it is "partial 16S ribosomal RNA". It matches the Rfam family "Bacterial small subunit ribosomal RNA", at positions 29 to 523 of the family's 1533-position model. The record is from RNAcentral.
AUUGAACGCUGGCGGCAUGCUUUACACAUGCAAGUCGAACGGUAACAGGCCGCAAGGUGCUGACGAGUGGCGAACGGGUGAGUAAUGUAUAGGAACGUGCCCAGUCGUGGGGGAUAACUGCCCGAAAGAGCAGCUAAUACCGCAUACGACCUGAGGGUGAAAGCGGGGGAUCGCAAGACCUCGCGCGCUUGGAGCGGCUGAUAUCAGAUUAGGUAGUUGGUGAGGUAAGGGCUCACCAAGCCGACGAUCUGUAGCUGGUCUGAGAGGACGACCAGCCACACUGGGACUGAGACACGGCCCAGACUCCUACGGGAGGCAGCAGUGGGGAAUUUUGGACAAUGGGCGCAAGCCUGAUCCAGCCAUGCCGCGUGCGGGAAGAAGGCCUUCGGGUUGUAAACCGCUUUUGUCAGGGAAGAAAAGGUUCUGGCUAAUACCUGGGACUCAUGACGGUACCUGAAGAAUAAGCACCGGCUAACUACGUGCCAGCCGCCGCAGUAA